This 450-nucleotide ribosomal RNA is filed under the name uncultured bacterium. RNAcentral's name for it is "partial 16S ribosomal RNA". It matches the Rfam family "Bacterial small subunit ribosomal RNA", at positions 354 to 796 of the family's 1533-position model. The record is from RNAcentral.
GUAGGGAAUCUUCCACAAUGGGCGCAAGCCUGAUGGUGCAACACCGCGUGAGUGAAGAAGGGUUUCGGCUCGUAAAGCUCUGUUGUUAAAGAAGAACACGUAUGAGAGUAACUGUUCAUACGUUGACGGUAUUUAACCAGAAAGUCACGGCUAACUACGUGCCAGCAGCCGCGGUAAUACGUAGGUGGCAAGCGUUAUCCGGAUUUAUUGGGCGUAAAGAGAGUGCAGGCGGUUUUCUAAGUCUGAUGUGAAAGCAUUCGGCUUAACCGGAGAAGUGCAUCGGAAACUGGAUAACUUGAGUGCAGAAGAGGGUAGUGGAACUCCAUGUGUAGCGGUGGAAUGCGUAGAUAUAUGGAAGAACACCAGUGGCGAAGGCGGCUACCUGGUCUGCAACUGACGCUGAGACUCGAAAGCAUGGGUAGCGAACAGGAUUAGAAACCCUGGUAGUCC